RNAcentral lists this ribosomal RNA (740 nucleotides) under Wolbachia pipientis. Its description in RNAcentral is "bacterial SSU rRNA". It matches the Rfam family "Bacterial small subunit ribosomal RNA", at positions 199 to 962 of the family's 1533-position model. Lineage: Bacteria; Pseudomonadati; Pseudomonadota; Alphaproteobacteria; Rickettsiales; Anaplasmataceae. The record is from RNAcentral.
GGGGAAAAAUUUAUUGCUAUUAGAUGAGCCUAUAUUAGAUUAGCUAGUUGGUGGGGUAAUAGCCUACCAAGGUAAUGAUCUAUAGCUGAUCUGAGAGGAUGAUCAGCCACACUGGAACUGAGAUACGGUCCAGACUCCUACGGGAGGCAGCAGUGGGGAAUAUUGGACAAUGGGCGAAAGCCUGAUCCAGCCAUGCCGCAUGAGUGAAGAAGGCCUUUGGGUUGUAAAGCUCUUUUAGUGAGGAAGAUAAUGACGGUACUCACAGAAGAAGUCCUGGCUAACUCCGUGCCAGCAGCCGCGGUAAUACGGAGAGGGCUAGCGUUAUUCGGAAUUAUUGGGCGUAAAGGGCGCGUAGGCUGGUUAAUAAGUUAAAAGUGAAAUCCCGAGGCUUAACCUUGGAAUUGCUUUUAAAACUAUUAAUCUAGAGAUUGAAAGAGGAUAGAGGAAUUCCUGAUGUAGAGGUAAAAUUCGUAAAUAUUAGGAGGAACACCAGUGGCGAAGGCGUCUAUCUGGUUCAAAUCUGACGCUGAAGCGCGAAGGCGUGGGGAGCAAACAGGAUUAGAUACCCUGGUAGUCCACGCUGUAAACGAUGAAUGUUAAAUAUGGGGAGUUUACUUUCUGUAUUACAGCUAACGCGUUAAACAUUCCGCCUGGGGACUACGGUCGCAAGAUUAAAACUCAAAGGAAUUGACGGGGACCCGCACAAGCGGUGGAGCAUGUGGUUUAAUUCGAUGCAACGC